RNAcentral lists this unclassified non-coding RNA (377 nucleotides) under plant metagenome. Its description in RNAcentral is "partial contains 5.8S ribosomal RNA, internal transcribed spacer 2, and large subunit ribosomal RNA". The stretch from base 1 to 104 matches the Rfam family "5.8S ribosomal RNA", at positions 51 to 154 of the family's 154-position model. The record is from RNAcentral.
AAAUGCGAUAAGUAAUGUGCAUUGCAGAAUUCAGUGAAUCAUCGAAUCUUUGAACGCACAUUGCGCUCCUUGGUAUUCCUUGGAGCAUGCCUGUUUGAGUAUCAUGAAAUCUUCAAAGUAAAUCUUUUGUUAACUCAAUUGGUUUCUACUUUGGUAUUGGAGGUCUUUGCAGCUUCACACCUGCUCCUCUUUGUUCAUUAGCUGGAUCUCAGUGUUAUGCUUGGUUCCACUCGGCGUGAUAAGUUAUCUAUCGCUGAGGACACUGUAAAAGGUGGCCAAGGUAAAUGCAGAUGAACCGCUUCUAAUAGUCCAUUGACUUGGACAAUACUUUUAUGAUCUGAUCUCAAAUCAGGUAGGACUACCCGCUGAACUUAAGC